CCAUAUGCCUUUUGUUUGGAGACAUCUGAAAUGAAGCGAUAAUAGUAGAUUAGCAUGGCCCCUGCUCAAGGAUGACGAGAACAAAUCAAGAAGUGUGCCAUUUUAUU
RNAcentral lists this small nuclear RNA (107 nucleotides) under Amborella trichopoda. Lineage: Eukaryota; Viridiplantae; Streptophyta; Magnoliopsida; Amborellales; Amborellaceae. The record is from RNAcentral.